AAGGACCGAAGGGUGGGAGUUUCGCCCCCAUGGGCCGCAGGUCCUGAGGAUUAUAUCACACCGUCUUGAUUGCCAUUUUAUUCGUGAGAUCCGAUCAGCCCAGGUGAUCUAUGUAAGAAUUGGACUAAAUGUGGAAAUCCACUUCUGGAAAAUGUCUGACAGCCACUCUUUACCACUGUUGCCUGCAACAGAGCUGGUCACGCAUCGCAAGGGAUUAGGACCAAAAUUGAGGCAUCCAGCACCCCGUGUUUCCCACCUGGGUGGAAAAGCGGAGGGAAGCGCCAGGGCGGAACUGGCUGCUGUGUCUCAAGGACUCUAGGAGAAGCCUCGGUCCCCGGGGCGGCAAAGGGGACCCGAGUGAGGCUUGAGGACUUAGAAAUGACAAUGGCGCCAGGGAGCGUCCCAGAUACCGGCUUCCAAGCGGCUAAAGCGGCUGAGGCGCGAAGAAGAAGCAGCUGCCUCGCUUCAGAUAGACGGGCACUUGCUGUCCCCUGCCGAGCCUGGAACAGGCUGCUCGCCGGGACCACGGCCUCCUACUGCCUCCUCUCACCACUUCAAGAGACACCAUCUCCUAAAGACUCAAAGGUGAAAAGCAAAACCUGAACGCGGCCAUGAGCCGCAUCCAGGAAAAGAAACACCUGCGACGGCUCUGCGCCUCCCCCCGCCCCAUUGCAUGCCUCCCUCCUGACACCCCUUCAAAGGCAUACGGGGACACAGGUCCCCGCAGCCUCGUGGCCACUGCUUCUCAUCACGCUGGCUGCACAUCCCAGCCGCAGGAGCACCAAGUCAGACGGGGAAACAACCACAUGGCACAGCCCUGCUGCUCAGGACAGGCUCAGCGCUGACAAGACUGGUGGUGGAGAGAAAUUGCCAAGAUGCUAAGAAACUUGAGAAGCCACCUCUGCAGCAGGGCUGGGACGGGUGAGGGGAAAAGAACUUACUUUCAUUUUAUACUUUUUCCAUG
Molecule: long non-coding RNA, 964 nt
Filed under: Sus scrofa (pig)
Lineage: Eukaryota; Metazoa; Chordata; Mammalia; Artiodactyla; Suidae
Description: lncRNA (ENSSSCG00015044256.1)
Source: RNAcentral